RNAcentral lists this ribosomal RNA (441 nucleotides) under uncultured bacterium. Its description in RNAcentral is "partial 16S ribosomal RNA". It matches the Rfam family "Bacterial small subunit ribosomal RNA", at positions 338 to 795 of the family's 1533-position model. The record is from RNAcentral.
CCUACGGGAGGCAGCAGUGGGGAAUAUUGCACAAUGGGGGAAACCCUGAUGCAGCGACGCCGCGUGAGUGAAGAAGUAUUUCGGUAUGUAAAGCUCUAUCAGCAGGGAAGAAGAAAGACGGUACCUGACUAAGAAGCCCCGGCUAACUACGUGCCAGCAGCCGCGGUAAUACGUAGGGGGCAAGCGUUAUCCGGAUUUACUGGGUGGAAAGGGAGCGUAGACGGCUGUGCAAGUCUGAGGUGAAAGCCCAGGGCUCAACCCUGGGACUGCUUUGGAAACUGUGGAGCUAGAGUGCUGGAGAGGUAAGUGGAAUGCCUAGUGUAGCGGUGAAAUGCGUAGAUAUUAGGAGGAACACCAGUGGCGAAGGCGGCUUACUGGACAGUAACUGACGUUGAGGCUCGAAAGCGUGGGGAGCAAACAGGAUUAGAUACCCCUGUAGUC